RNAcentral lists this ribosomal RNA (1459 nucleotides) under uncultured bacterium. Its description in RNAcentral is "bacterial SSU rRNA". It matches the Rfam family "Bacterial small subunit ribosomal RNA". The record is from RNAcentral.
GAGCGAACGCUGGCGGCGUGCCUAACACAUGCAAGUCGAACGCUGAGUUUAUCGUAGCAAUACGAUGAACAAGGCGUGGCGCACGGGUGCGUAACGCGUGGACAACCUGCCUGCGAGUGGGGAAUAACCCCGGGAAACUGGGGCUAAUACCGCAUACUUUUUCCUGGACGACGGUCCGGGAACAGAAAGCCGCGAGGCGCUCACAGAGGGGUCCGCGUCCGAUCAGCUAGUUGGUGAGGUCACGGCUCACCAAGGCUAAGACCGGUAGCUGGUCUGAGAGGACGACCAGCCACACUGGGACGGAGACACGGCCCAGACUCCUACGGGAGGCAGCAGUGGGGAAUAUUGCGCAAUGGACGAAAGUCUGACGCAGCGACGCCGCGUGGAGGACGAAGCCCUUCGGGGUGUAAACUCCUUUCGACGGGGACGAAACUCUCGCAAGAGACUGACGGUACCCGUAGAAGAAGCCCCGGCUAACUACGUGCCAGCAGCCGCGGUAAUACGUAGGGGGCGGGCGUUGCUCGGAAUUACUGGGCGUAAAGGGUCCGUAGGCGGUUGAAUAAGUCGACGGUGAAAUCUCCCGGCUUAACCGGGAGGGGUCCGCCGAAACUGUUUGACUCGAGGGCCGGAGGGCGAGUGGAAUUACCGGUGUAGCGGUGAAAUGCGUAGAUCUCGGGUAGGAACACCGGAGGCGAAAGCGGCUCGCUGGACGGCACCUGACGCUGAGGGACGAAAGCUGGGGGAGCAAACAGAUUAGAUACCCUGGUAGUCCCAGCCCUAAACGAUGGUCACUAGACGUGCCGCGUGUUCGCGCGGCGUGUCGCAGCUAACGCGCUAAGUGACCCGCUGGGGAGUACGGUCGCAAGGCUGAAACUCAAAGGAAUUGACGGGGGCCCGCACAAGCGGUGGAGCAUGUGGUUCAUUUCGACGCAACGCGAAGAACCUUACCCGGGCUUGAAGUGCACCGGACCAUCCCGCGAAAGCGGGACUUCCCGCAAGGGACCGGUGUAGAGGUGCUGCAUGGCUGUCGUCAGCUCGUGUCGUGAGAUGUUGGGUUAAGUCCCGCAACGAGCGCAACCCUUGUCCCUAGUUGCUACCGGUUCGGCCGAGCUCUCUAAGGAGACUGCCCGUGACAAACGGGAGGAAGGCGGGGAUGACGUCAAGUCAGCAUGGCCUUUAUGUCCGGGGCUACACACGUGCUACAAUGCGCGUUACAGAGGGUCUGCCAACCCGCAAGGGGGAGCUAAUCCCACAAAAACGCGCUCAGUUCGGAUUGGGGUCUGCAACCCGACCCCAUGAAGCUGGAAUCGCUAGUAAUGGCGCAUCAGCACGGCGCCGUGAAUACGUUCCCGGGCCUUGUACACACCGCCCGUCACAUCACGAAAGGGGGCUGUACUAGAAGUUCCCGGUCCAACCCUUCGGGGACAUCGGGACCGACGGUAUGGUUCCUGAUUGGGGU